UACGUAGGGUGCAAGCGUUGUCCGGAAUUAUUGGGCGUAAAGAGCUCGUAGGCGGUCUGUCGCGUCGGCUGUGAAAACUCGGGGCUCAACCCCGAGCCUGCAGUCGAUACGGGCAGACUAGAGUGCUGUAGGGGAGACUGGAAUUCCUGGUGUAGCGGUGAAAUGCGCAGAUAUCAGGAGGAACACCAAUUGCGAAGGCAGCUCGCUGGGACGUUACUGACGCUGAGACGCGAAAGCGUGGGGAGCAAACAGG
This 253-nucleotide ribosomal RNA is filed under the name uncultured bacterium. RNAcentral's name for it is "partial 16S ribosomal RNA". It matches the Rfam family "Bacterial small subunit ribosomal RNA", at positions 524 to 776 of the family's 1533-position model. The record is from RNAcentral.